Molecule: non-coding RNA, 1015 nt
Organism: Ictidomys tridecemlineatus (thirteen-lined ground squirrel)
Lineage: Eukaryota; Metazoa; Chordata; Mammalia; Rodentia; Sciuridae
Source: RefSeq, a predicted model, not a curated record
CCAGCCCCGGGUGCAAUCCAGGCAAGCAAACCUGAAGCAUGCACCGGGGCUGCCCGACCCCAGGGAUUUGGCCUCUGCAGGGACAUUCCGAGAAUCUGUGGUUUUCAACAAUGCCCGGGGGCCUCUCUGCAUCUGUAAAGAACUCGGGAGCUGUCGGCCGGCCAAGGAGCCCGCUCUGUGGUGAUGGAUGAAUUGCUGUCACAAAGGGGCUUCCCUGCUCGUGUCUCAGAGUGUCACUAGCGGGGGAUUAGUAAGAAGGAAGCCACAGAGAGCGAGUGAUUUACGGGAUCCGGGUUCACGGGGACACCCUGAGAGAGGCACUCGCCAGCCAGCCAGCCAGCCGGCCGCCGGCAGGAUCCGCAUUCCUGAGCUGUCCACGUUUCAACGCUGCCACUGCCCGGGGCCAGGACAGAGUCCUCCGAGAGCCCAUCUGCCGGGCUGGAAGGGGUUCCAGGGGAAACCGGAUACGUGGAGCACAAAGAUGAGCCACGCUGGACAGGGACCCCCCCCACCAGAGAAGUUCAGCAGAGACGCACGCAUCUAUGCAAAACCCGAUCGAGACGCGCUGCAAAGACAUGGAAAUUGCUCCCAAGGAAGGAGGUACCAACCCCAAAUUGAUCCUCUCCACGUGUUUGGAAAUCCCAGCCGGAACCGCAGGCAAGGACCGGAACGUGCAGUGGACCUCGCUGGGCACGUAGCAGGAGCAAGGGUGAGGACAGGCCCGCGCGGCUGGCGGCUGGCCCCAGGCCACCAUCAGCACCACGGAGAGUGCCCCCCACUGCGCCUGCGUCAGCAUCCUGGGCGGGUGCGGGGUCCCGGGACACCUGCGGGGCGAGAAGGCGAGAGGGUCUUACUUUCCGGGGCAGCGUAGUAGACCUGGUGUCGUGACCUGUCCACGUUCUCUUUAGUCAGGAGGGUAGAAAAAUGACCUUCAGUCUUGACAUUGAUGGUUGGAUUUGGAAACACGGAGAUAUAUUGACGUUUUUUGCAAAAUAAUAAAGAUAAUGAUAAUCAA